This 1271-nucleotide ribosomal RNA is filed under the name Bacillus sp. (in: firmicutes). Its description in RNAcentral is "bacterial SSU rRNA". It matches the Rfam family "Bacterial small subunit ribosomal RNA", at positions 39 to 1289 of the family's 1533-position model. The record is from RNAcentral. Lineage: Bacteria; Bacillati; Bacillota; Bacilli; Caryophanales; Bacillaceae.
GCGGCAAGCUAUACAUGCAGUCGAGCGGACAGAUGGGAGCUUGCUCCCUGAUGUUAGCGGCGGACGGGUGAGUAACACGUGGGUAACCUGCCUGUAAGACUGGGAUAACUCCGGGAAACCGGGGCUAAUACCGGAUGCUUGUUUGAACCGCAUGGUUCAAACAUAAAAGGUGGCUUCGGCUACCACUUACAGAUGGACCCGCGGCGCAUUAGCUAGUUGGUGAGGUAACGGCUCACCAAGGCAACGAUGCGUAGCCGACCUGAGAGGGUGAUCGGCCACACUGGGACUGAGACACGGCCCAGACUCCUACGGGAGGCAGCAGUAGGGAAUCUUCCGCAAUGGACGAAAGUCUGACGGAGCAACGCCGCGUGAGUGAUGAAGGUUUUCGGAUCGUAAAGCUCUGUUGUUAGGGAAGAACAAGUACCGUUCAAAUAGGGCGGUACCUUGACGGUACCUAACCAGAAAGCCACGGCUAACUACGUGCCAGCAGCCGCGGUAAUACGUAGGUGGCAAGCGUUGUCCGGAAUUAUUGGGCGUAAAGGGCUCGCAGGCGGUUCCUUAAGUCUGAUGUGAAAGCCCCCGGCUCAACCGGGGAGGGUCAUUGGAAACUGGGGAACUUGAGUGCAGAAGAGGAGAGUGGAAUUCCACGUGUAGCGGUGAAAUGCGUAGAGAUGUGGAGGAACACCAGUGGCGAAGGCGACUCUCUGGUCUGUAACUGACGCUGAGGAGCGAAAGCGUGGGGAGCGAACAGGAUUAGAUACCCUGGUAGUCCACGCCGUAAACGAUGAGUGCUAAGUGUUAGGGGGUUUCCGCCCCUUAGUGCUGCAGCUAACGCAUUAAGCACUCCGCCUGGGGAGUACGGUCGCAAGACUGAAACUCAAAGGAAUUGACGGGGGCCCGCACAAGCGGUGGAGCAUGUGGUUUAAUUCGAAGCAACGCGAAGAACCUUACCAGGUCUUGACAUCCUCUGACAAUCCUAGAGAUAGGACGUCCCCUUCGGGGGCAGAGUGACAGGUGGUGCAUGGUUGUCGUCAGCUCGUGUCGUGAGAUGUUGGGUUAAGUCCCGCAACGAGCGCAACCCUUGAUCUUAAUUGCCAGCAUUCAGUUGGGCACUCUAAAGUGACUGCCGGUGACAAACCGGAAGGAAGGUGGGGAUGACGUCAAAUCAUCAUGCCCCUUAUGACCUGGGCUACCCACGUGGCUACAAUGGGAAAGAAACAAAGGGGCAGCGAAACCCCCGAAGGUAAAGCCAAUCCCACAAAAUCUGGUUU